Long non-coding RNA from Trichoplusia ni (cabbage looper), 3461 nucleotides. RefSeq lists it as uncharacterized. The record is from RefSeq and is a predicted model, not a curated record. The transcript is spliced from 3 exons. NCBI's taxonomy places the organism in Eukaryota, Metazoa, Arthropoda, Insecta, Lepidoptera, Noctuidae.
UUACAUGCUAUUUUUUUCAAGAAAUGAACUAAAAUAAACUGAAACUUCGCUACCGUAACUAUAAAAACCAAAACAGAUACAAUCCUAAAAUCUAUGCAAUAUAAUCAGAUUUACUUGAUAUAAUAAAAAGGAUUUCUCACAACCAGACUUAGUAUCCAAUUGUAGGAUACAGAAAUCUUGUUAGACUCUUAUUCAGAGAGAAAUCUCCCGUAAUAAUACGGGGAUGGAAACUCACGAAUCGAUUUCCGUCGGAAAUGCAAAGUCUCGGCGAGAUAUUGCACAGAAUUACUACCAUAAAAUAUUAAGUCUUUGUGAUACAAUAUUGUGCGACGACUUUGUAUCGUGUAUGUGACAAGAACUGUACUGAUAAAGAGUAUAAUGUUAAGAAUGAAACUGCUUAAAAACUUAUUCAUAAUGUUUUUUUUUGUCGCAGUUUAUUGUAAAAUUUAAACCAUGACAUCAACCCACUGUUGCUGCUGUGGGCUCCUUGCCUAUUGAAAUCGCAGACUCUAUGUCAGCGGGAAGCCUCUCGCUCAAGUGACGUAAAGCAGGAGCUGCGACCGAGUGUUGCGACGGACGAUUGGCGACAGAACCGCCUCAAACCGCAUUUUUAUGAAAGCCCCUAAUGACACGUGAAAUCCCAAAUUGCUAAGACGGAAUGGAGUUACCAAACAGACCCUAAUCCGGCACACAUCCUAUGUACCUAUAAGUAAGGAUGAAAUAACCUCAAUUUCACCAACAAGAUCCGCGGUAAUGUGUUGCGAAUGGUACGGCUUGAUAAGGAAAAACGGGUAAAUAAGGAAUCGUGAGAGGCCACCGGUACCGGAAAGGGUCAGGCGGGGGGAGGCGCUCAUCCGGCGGAUACACCGCAACCGGCCGCCGGCCGCCGGACCGAUGUAUUCCACAGCCGGAGGGCAGAUCGCCGAGACUUUUAUAAAACAUUGACGUUGUAGUGAAGCCAAUAACUACGUUCUGGGGCACUCAAAUGGACAUGAUUUGUUUACCAUGAAAAGGUCAACAUUGUUAGCUGUUUAGUAUUUCACAUAUUGUGGCAUUUCUGUUCACAGUCCGUGCAGAGUUUCUGGUAAAACUUGAACUUUGUGCCAACACAAUACUUUUACGAACAUUUUAAGCGAAUCGAGAACGAAAUGGCUCAAUGUGAGCAAAAUUGUAUAAAAAAUCUUUUCUUUAAACAUUAUCACAAAGGAGCUUAUUUUUAAAAGCUUCAAAGCAAAAAAGAUUCUCUUAUCAAGACUGCAAUUAGAAUAUUUUUUCUUUUUGAUCCACAGACGUAAGAGUAAUGAAAUUUUGAUAUCAAUUCGCAACCGACGAAAUCCCAGGAGAUAGUGCUUUCAAAACAACUUUGAUUUCCUCCCGGCAUAGUCAAAGGAGCUUACGGAGAAAAAGCGACGAAAGAAAGAAAGAAAUAAAAAAUGCACAGAAACACGGAGGUCGGAGUUUUUCCUGUCACCGGGCACAAACAAUGCCUCCAUUGUAGGGCUGCGGCCCGGCCGCGCCCCGCGCGCCCGCAGCGCCCGCCGCGGUACCGCCGAGGAAACGAGCAUCUUUUGUUUCCAACCCCGCGUCCCGCACGGAAACGAGAGCUUUGAACCCGCGGUCAUCUGUUUACAUCACGCCAACUUUAGAAAAAAAGACAUCCGAUUAUUUGUUCUGCAGACUACGUAAGCACUGCAACGGAAAUAUACUCGAUCGCGUUUUGCGAGGACUCGGGUUUACGCCGGCGUUUUCAACAUAAAAUAUUUUAUCGAUGCAAAAAAGUAAGUACGUAUUCUACGUUCAAGCGAAACGAAAGGGUUAUUUUACUGGCUCUUUUCAUAAACAAAAGUACGUUUCAUCCAUUUGGAAAACCUAUUGCAAUAUUAAUUUAAAAUUGAAAUUCGUAUUGAAUACUUGAAAACGUAUCGACAUGUCGUCAAUCAAUUAGUAGUGGCCUGCAUUCGCCAGUUGCAAAUAUUAAACUGAUUCGAUGCUCAAAAAAGGUUGGAGCAAUUUAAAAAUUCGUUCAAUUCAAUUAAUAAAUAACACAGUAGGUAAUGGCAGCACAGCAUCGGCGCGUAACAAUUUGGAAUGAAUAAAAAGGUUGGUCCCCGACAGGUAACGUACUUACAACUCACUCAGGGACGACGAAUAAUAAAUUAUAUUUUUUCCUCGGCCCGCUCAUUUAGAUAUGAAAAAAUAACCGACCCUGGCGACCGUUUCGGAAUGUCUUACUUAUUCACAUAGCUCUGAAUUUCGCCGACUACCGGAUAAUUUAAAUGUAUUGUCGUAUCUCAUAAUCCUCAUAGAAUUUUUGGAAAAUAUAAUAUUCAAACAAAAAUGAGACACUUUAUUGUUAUUUUUAUUACUUUCAACAUUAACAUAUUGAGAAACUUAAUGAGUCGUUAAAAUUACUUUUUCCAUUACGUGAAACCAUAUUAGCCUUUUUGAUAUACCUAAUAAGUAUAUAGUAUACAACUUCCUAUGAGUGUUUCCCGCACUACACAAAAUUAGUGGAACCGGAAAAAACCAAUAUAGUCUGCCUAAAGCUGAACAGACAAAUUAACAUGUCACAGAACGAAAUUGUGUCAGGGACGUCAAGCCGCACGAGGCGGCAACACUAGUGUAAAAUGCAAUUCGCGUAAUCGAUUAAAUUUGAAUCAUGACGGACGCAUACAGCCAGCAUCACUUUUAACAUUGUACAAUUUAUUUUUUAUUCGACCAGAUCGUGCACAGAACUCGUUUCUGAUCUUCUAAAUUCAAAUGGCGGGAUUUUUUUUAAAUAACAGAAUUCGAAUUAGUCCUAUAAAAAGUUACCUUUGCAUUUCUCAAAAGUAACGUAGCAAUUUUUAUUAAAUAUUUGGGAUUUUAUAAUAAGCUUUAAGAGAAGUUUGUGAAUUUGCUACCCUUGGCGAUGAAAUAUAAUUAAGAUAAAUCCAGUGCAAGCUAAGAAGUCCCAUAGCAUCACUAGCCGAUAAAGAGUCAUUUUCCUUGUCAGAAUCAUUUUCAUAUCGAAAUAUAGGUAAGUGUAGGAAUAUCUUGUGGUUUUGAUUUAUAUAACUGUUCGACAUUAAGAAACAAUUGUCAACCUUUUUAUUUUCUGUCGUUUAUUAAGACGUGAUUAAAAAAUAUAUUUUCGUAUUCAAAUAAACUGCCAAAACUUGCGCUGUUGUUUCUAUCAACUCAUCAAAGCUAAUAAUGCGAUGUUGGUUCUUCCGUUGACUUCAGGCCACACUUGUAAGGUGGAGUAAGUAAACAGGUGGAUCAAAUAGUUUCGUGAGGAAAUGAUGUGGUGUGCCGGCUCUGGCAUGAACGACACGAAUUUCCGCUUCAAGCCCGUUCUUUUAUUGCACACCUAAAUUGAAUUUUCGCAGCGCCAUACAUAUUCCGCUCACCAAGUGAAUUUCAUAUUUCACUAUAUUUUGUUAAAGAUAUUAUUAAAGUAAUUUUUCAGGUGUACUUUU